This 393-nucleotide ribosomal RNA is filed under the name uncultured bacterium. Its description in RNAcentral is "partial 16S ribosomal RNA". It matches the Rfam family "Bacterial small subunit ribosomal RNA", at positions 523 to 918 of the family's 1533-position model. The record is from RNAcentral.
AUACGGAGGAUCCGAGCGUUAUCCGGAUUUAUUGGGUUUAAAGGGAGCGUAGGCGGACGCUUAAGUCAGUUGUGAAAGUUUGCGGCUCAACCGUAAAAUUGCAGUUGAUACUGGGUGUCUUGAGUACAGUAGAGGCAGGCGGAAUUCGUGGGGGAGCGGUGAAAUGCUUAGAUAUCACGAAGAACUCCGAUUGCGAAGGCAGCCGGCUGGACUGUAACUGACGCUGAUGCUCGAAAGUGUGGGUAUCAAACAGGAUUAGAUACCCUGGUAGUCCACACAGUAAACGAUGAAUACUCGCUGUUUGCGAUAUACAGUAAGCGGCCAAGCGAAAGCAUUAAGUAUUCCACCUGGGGAGUACGCCGGCAACGGUGAAACUCAAAUGAAUUGACGGGG